GACGAACGCUGGCGGCGUGCUUAACACAUGCAAGUCGAACGGACCCUUUGGGGUUAGUGGCGAACGGGUGAGUAACACGUGGGUGAUCUGCCCUGCACUUUGGGAUAAGCCUGGGAAACUGGGUCUAAUACCGGAUAGGACUACGCACUGCAUGGUGUGUGGUGGAAAGCUUUUGCGGUGUGGGAUGGGCCCGCGGCCUAUCAGCUUGUUGGUGGGGUGACGGCCUACCAAGGCGACGACGGGUAGCCGGCCUGAGAGGGUGACCGGCCACACUGGGACUGAGGUACGGCCCAGACUCCUACGGGAGGCAGCAGUGGGGAAUAUUGCACAAUGGGCGCAAGCCUGAUGCAGCGACGCCGCGUGAGGGAUGACGGCCUUCGGGUUGUAAACCUCUUUCGCCAGGGACGAAGCGCAAGUGACGGUACCUGGAGAAGAAGGACCGGCCAACUACGUGCCAGCAGCCGCCGUAA
RNAcentral lists this ribosomal RNA (470 nucleotides) under uncultured bacterium. Its description in RNAcentral is "partial 16S ribosomal RNA". It matches the Rfam family "Bacterial small subunit ribosomal RNA", at positions 28 to 523 of the family's 1533-position model. The record is from RNAcentral.